Non-coding RNA from Ilyonectria robusta, 124 nucleotides. Lineage: Eukaryota; Fungi; Ascomycota; Sordariomycetes; Hypocreales; Nectriaceae. The record is from the annotation of a RefSeq genome assembly.
GGACAGAUAGCUCAGCGGUAGAGGUACGUCUGAAUGUCUCACUUCGCAGGUCAUCCGUGUUAACCAAGACAUCAGCGAGGGAUUGCAGAUCCCUAGGUCGCGUGUUCGAUCCACGCUCGGUCCU